This 285-nucleotide long non-coding RNA is filed under the name Struthio camelus australis. RNAcentral's name for it is "lncRNA (ENSSCUG00000002165.1)". The record is from RNAcentral. Lineage: Eukaryota; Metazoa; Chordata; Aves; Struthioniformes; Struthionidae.
GGAUUACUGAAUGCGAUACUGGCUGGGGUUUACCUCUCAAGAUAUGAAUGGACUGCCAAAAAUUGUGACAGAAGCAAGUGAGAAGUCAAGACAACCGUGUGGACCCCUUUGGUGGAACUGCGCCCCACUAUCUUCUUGCUCCAGAAGGAAUUAGUGCUGCUUAUCUCACUGUGAAAUGAAGAGACUGUGUUCCAAGUCACCAUGAGGAAGUUUUUGGCAGUGAGAAGAAGUGUUAACUGCUGCCGUGAAAGGGCUACUGAAUUUGGUGUUAGUACAGAGGUUAUU